This 761-nucleotide ribosomal RNA is filed under the name uncultured bacterium. RNAcentral describes it as "bacterial SSU rRNA". It matches the Rfam family "Bacterial small subunit ribosomal RNA", at positions 28 to 777 of the family's 1533-position model. The record is from RNAcentral.
GAUGAACGCUAGCUACAGGCUUAACACAUGCAAGUCGAGGGGCAGCAUUUCAGUUUGCUUGCAAACUGGAGAUGGCGACCGGCGCACGGGUGAGUAACACGUAUCCAACCUGCCGAUAACUCGGGGAUAGCCUUUCGAAAGAAAGAUUAAUACCCGAUAGUAUAAUGAAACCGCAUGGUCUUAUUAUUAAAGAAUUUCGGUUAUCGAUGGGGAUGCGUUCCAUUAGGCAGUUGGUGAGGUAACGGCUCACCAAACCUUCGAUGGAUAGGGGUUCUGAGAGGAAGGUCCCCCACAUUGGAACUGAGACACGGUCCAAACUCCUACGGGAGGCAGCAGUGAGGAAUAUUGGUCAAUGGGCGCAGGCCUGAACCAGCCAAGUAGCGUGAAGGAUGACUGCCCUAUGGGUUGUAAACUUCUUUUAUAUGGGAAUAAAGUUUUCCACGUGUGGAAUUUUGUAUGUACCAUAUGAAUAAGGAUCGGCUAACUCCGUGCCAGCAGCCGCGGUAAUACGGAGGAUCCGAGCGUUAUCCGGAUUUAUUGGGUUUAAAGGGAGCGUAGGUGGACAGUUAAGUCAGUUGUGAAAGUUUGCGGCUCAACCGUAAAAUUGCAGUUGAUACUGGCUGUCUUGAGUACAGUAGAGGUGGGCGGAAUUCGUGGUGUAGCGGUGAAAUGCUUAGAUAUCACGAAGAACUCCGAUUGCGAAGGCAGCUCACUGGACUGCAACUGACACUGAUGCUCGAAAGUGUGGGUAUCAAACCAGG